GAAAAGAGACUUGUCAUUGACUACAAGCCUCUCAACCAUUUUCUUCAGGAUGACAAGUUUCCAUUACCAAAACCUGAAGCCCUGUUCACCCAACUCCAUGAGGCCCAUAUCUUCUCAAAAUUCGAUCUUAAAGCCGAAUUUUGGGUUUUGGCAAUUGGGUAUUAACCCCUCUGAUAGACCCAAAAUCGCUUUUUGUAUCCCUACGGCCCAAUAUCAAUGGAUUGUUCUCCCAUUCAGCCUUAAAACAGCCCCAUCUGUUUUCCAGA
Molecule: unclassified non-coding RNA, 266 nt
Filed under: Hevea brasiliensis (rubber tree)
Lineage: Eukaryota; Viridiplantae; Streptophyta; Magnoliopsida; Malpighiales; Euphorbiaceae
Source: RNAcentral